GUGGGGAAUAUUGGACAAUGGGCGAAAGCCUGAUCCAGCCAUGCCGCGUGAGUGAUGAAGGCCCUAGGGUUGUAAAGCUCUUUCAGUGGGGAAGAUAAUGACGGUACCCACAGAAGAAGCCCCGGCUAACUUCGUGCCAGCAGCCGCGGUAAUACGAAGGGGGCUAGCGUUGUUCGGAUUUACUGGGCGUAAAGCGCACGUAGGCGGAUUGUUAAGUCGAGGGUGAAAUCCCAGGGCUCAACCCUGGAACUGCCUUCGAUACUGGCAAUCUUGAGUCCGGAAGAGGUGAGUGGAACUCCUAGUGUAGAGGUGGAAUUCGUAGAUAUUAGGAAGAACACCAGUGGCGAAGGCGGCUCACUGGUCCGGUACUGACGCUGAGGUGCGAAAGCGUGGGGAGCAAACAGGAUUAGAUACCCUAGUAGUCC
Molecule: ribosomal RNA, 425 nt
Filed under: uncultured bacterium
Lineage: Bacteria
Description: partial 16S ribosomal RNA
Rfam family: Bacterial small subunit ribosomal RNA
Source: RNAcentral